GGUUGAAAUUAAAGAAGUAUUUUGUGGCUUUGAGAAGUGACUGAAGGGAGGCUUUUUGAAUGUUUGAAUCAAAUGAGUCAACUGCUUUGCAAAUGAUUCACUUAAUUUGUUUUGAAGCGCUGAACUGCUUUGCUAAAAGGAGCAGAAUUAUGAAACGAAUCUACAAAGGUGUGGUGGUUGGGUGGAGGCAUGCUGAGGACCAGCAGCUUCAGUCUCUCCACCUUAUCCUCGUGAUCAGACAGUUCUACAGGACACAGAAGCACUGAAUCAUUUCUAAUGAAUCAUUUAUCGUUCAUCUCCUCUGGUUUCCUCGCCAUCACUCACUGACGGUCUCCACAAUGUCCUGGAAGAAUUCGUAGGGCACGAGAGGCUCGGGCAGCUCCCUGAAGAACAGCUUGAGCGCUCCGGUGAUGACGUGGAUGUCCUCCCACUGCGGGUCGUCCAGAUCCAGACGCUCUGCAGGAAAAACAGAGAGCAUGUGAGUCGUGAAUGCUGUGCCACUCACAGAGAUGCUGCAUGUUUUUAGGCAUCAUGCUGCAGGAAAAGAUCUGCAGAAGUAGAAGGUCAAAGGUCAAGAAAAGGUGAAGAAGCAAAUCAACAGAGAUCAUUUGAUUAAAGUUUCUCUCUUGCAAACCUCAAUAA
Carassius carassius (crucian carp) is the source of this 642-nucleotide long non-coding RNA. RefSeq lists it as uncharacterized. The record is from RefSeq and is a predicted model, not a curated record. The transcript is spliced from 2 exons. NCBI's taxonomy places the organism in Eukaryota, Metazoa, Chordata, Actinopteri, Cypriniformes, Cyprinidae.